This 29-nucleotide small RNA is filed under the name Bombyx mori (domestic silkworm). RNAcentral's name for it is "piRNA piR-bmo-1903270". The record is from RNAcentral. Lineage: Eukaryota; Metazoa; Arthropoda; Insecta; Lepidoptera; Bombycidae.
UACACGCUCGACAUCUUCUAAUAAAGGCU